AUCUGCACCCUAACUGCACUGUCAAUAAGAUCGUUGUUCAGAGAAAACCUCAUUUGUGCCUUUUUGCAAUCAGGGAUAUUUUCUUUGGAGAGGAAAUAACGUUUGACUAUGGCGCAUGUGAUUGGCCUUGGAGAAAGCUUUCAUUGAAGGAUGCCCAUAUGACUGCAGAAGAGAACUGCUUCGACAACUCUCUGAUGAGCUUUUAUUGAAGUAUGACCAAAUGACGAGAAGAAGAGAACUGCUCUGCUCCAGUAGGAGACCCACAACCCUCUGAUGAGCUUAUAUUGAAAGUUGACCAUAUGACAGAGGAAGAGAACUGCUCUGCUCCAGUACGUGACCCACAAAUCUCUGAUGAGGU
Danio rerio (zebrafish) is the source of this 358-nucleotide non-coding RNA. NCBI's taxonomy places the organism in Eukaryota, Metazoa, Chordata, Actinopteri, Cypriniformes, Danionidae. The record is from Ensembl.